GCUAAAAACCUAGCCCAAACCUCCUCCUACAUACCCAAUUACCCAUUAAAAUAUUUUAACAUUUGAGUAGGGACGACCGAAAAACUUUCAAGAGCUAUAAUAAAGUACCGCAAGGGAAAGAUGAAAUAAUAAUGAAACACCACAAAAGCACAAAAAAGUAAAGUUUAUAGCUUGUACCUUUUGCAUCAUGGUUUAACUAGUUUAACUAAGCAAAAAGAUUUUUAGUUUAACCCCCCGAAACCGAAUGAGCUACUUCAAGGCAACCUACUGAGCUAACCCGUCCCUGUUGCAAAAGGGUGGGAUGACCUUGUAAUAGCGGUGAUAAACCUAACGAAUUCGGUGAUAGCUGGUUACUCAGGAAAAGAAUCUUAGUCCAACCUAAAGUUAUCAAAUAAAAUAUACUACUGCUUUAGAGUAACUCAAAUAAGGUACAGCCUAUUUGACACAGGACACAACCUCAAACAAUGGCUAACUCACAACACAUUUAAACUAAGUAGGCCUAAAAGCAGCCACC
RNAcentral lists this ribosomal RNA (514 nucleotides) under Ischnocnema guentheri (Steindachner's robber frog). RNAcentral's name for it is "partial 16S ribosomal RNA". The stretch from base 156 to 514 matches the Rfam family "Bacterial large subunit ribosomal RNA", at positions 568 to 1122 of the family's 2925-position model. The record is from RNAcentral. Lineage: Eukaryota; Metazoa; Chordata; Amphibia; Anura; Brachycephalidae.